This 488-nucleotide ribosomal RNA is filed under the name Euborellia arcanum. RNAcentral's name for it is "partial 16S ribosomal RNA". It matches the Rfam family "Bacterial large subunit ribosomal RNA", at positions 1830 to 2625 of the family's 2925-position model. Lineage: Eukaryota; Metazoa; Arthropoda; Insecta; Dermaptera; Anisolabididae. The record is from RNAcentral.
UUUUUUUAGAAAUUUAUUAAAAAUAUAAUCUGCCCCCUGAAUUUUUAAGGGCCGCGGUAACUUGACCGUGCAAAGGUAGCAUAAUCAGUAGUCUUUUAAUUGAAGACUUGUAUGAACGAUUGAAUGGAAGAUAAACUGUAUCUUUAUAAAUUUUAAAAUUUUAAUUUAAUGUAAGAAUACAUUAAUAUAAUUUAAAGACGAUAAGACCCUAUAGAUCUUUACAAUAUACUAAUAAUUGUUUUAUUGGGGCAAUAAGAAACAAGAAUGUUUCUAAAAAAUACCAUUGAUAAAUGAAUUUAUAACCUUUUUUUAAAAAACUAAAUAAGAUACCUUAGGGAUAACAGCGUAAUUUCUUUAGAGAGUACACAUUAACAAAGAAGAUUGCGACCUCGAUGUUGGAUUAAAAUAAAAUAUAGAUGAAGAAGUUUAUAAUUUUAGUCUGUUCGACUAUUAAAAUUUUACAUGAUCUGAGUUCAAACCGGCGUAAG